AUGCCCUUCUAUUGAAAAGCCAUCCUCCCGGUAUCAACCGAUAAAAUUUAGGUCUAUAUAGCCAUCUCUUUCAGGGUGAAGGGCGGAGGACGAAGACCUAAAAUGAAUUGGUAGGUGAUGGAAACAGUGAACCUGAUCCUCUGUGAUUUUGAAGUCGAUGAUAAAUCCUAGAGAAGUCAAUUUUGGUUACAGAAAUACUAUUUGGCAUGGCAAGUUUCAAGUUGAAGAGGAAUUGUAGGUCAAAUUGAGCUAGGUAUUGGACUCUGGAAAGCAGGUAAUUUAAGGAUGCAAACAAAUUGCUUGCUCAAAUGGCUGAAAGAGGUAUUUCUUAUUGACACUGAUUUGUUCCAUUAUUAUCCUUGUCUUUGUUCAUAGAAAAUGGAUCAGGUAAUUUAUUUAUUUUUAUAGAAAAUGAGAUCGUUGUGUUCUUAAUUUGAUUAUGAUAGAAGUUUCGUAUUAUAUGAGAUUAUUAGCUUAGGUUUUAAGUUUAGCAGGGCUUUCUCUAUUCCAGUGGUUUCCUAGUUUCAGGGGAUCUUCCCAGUGAUGUUACUUUUCUAUAUAAAGUGUUGGAAGUUGGAGUUGAUUUAAGGAUCACAACAUAUCACAUAAUAAUAUAUUUCGUUUGAUGGUAGGAAUAGCCUUUAUCCUCUUUACUACCAUUCGCAGGACCCUAUUAGUUUUUAGUUAUUGGUUGUUAUGAGAACAAUACUUAAGUGUUUGUAUUUCCAUUGAUGGUGCUUGCUUUUCAUGAUUCAUGCUAGUGUUGGUUUUGCUUGCAUCGUAGUAGUCCUGUCAUACUGCCGUAAUCUUACUUGGGUGAAGUGGAUCGGAAAAGUAAUCAACAAUCAUAUAAUUUCUCAAAAUUCAAGUCGGGAGCGUAAAUUUGGUUAAAUAUAUUAGUUAUACUACUAACUUACAAAUACAUUAAGAAGAGAAAAACAUAAAGCAUUUUGAAAAUUAUAAUAAAGUGCCUACUUUCCUACAAUAUAUAUCAUUAAUUCACUCACUUCUUUUGUUUCUUGUUAACCUUUCGAGCUUUCUAAAAUCGAUUUCCUGCAUGCGUAUCUUGUGAAUUUGUAGGUGUAGAGGUGGAGGUGUAAACGGUGUAAGGGAAAAUAUAGGAAUAAGAGAAGGCAUGGCUUUAGUAAAGUCAUUAUUCUCUUCAACAUCAGAUGCAUUGUUUUGCUCUCUUGCUUCGAGUACAUUAAUUGCUUCCUCAAUAUUCAGAGUUUACAUCCCAUUCCUAAACUGAUUUUCGUAAUCUCCUGUUUGUCUUGCAAGUAGGCUGAUUUUAGUGAACGUGUACUAGUUUUUCAUCCUCAUCGACAAGCAUUUUGUUCUUUCUAUUCUAUGAAUGUAGCUAUAAGUGCUCAAACACCUUUCCGCAUAAGAUGUGUUCACACUUUGAGACAACACUCGCAUUACCAACUUAUAAAGUUCUGGUGGUCCUCCACCGUAUAGACCUCACCAUUGUGUUGCAUCCUUGCUCUAUCCUCUAUAGUUUGUGGGCGUGCGGAAACGCUUUUGUCAUUCACAAAAAUGUUGAUUUGGUGUCUUAUAAUCGCAGCUUCAUCCCGUAUUGGAAUCAUCUUGUUUAUUGCAGCUAAAUACCCGUCUUGAACUUCUUUGUCAAAAUUCGGCUUUUUCUUACCAACACCACCAAGAACUGAUUUCAUUAGCCAAGAGUUUGUGUAAAUUUCGGGACAAAUAUAUCAUAAAUCACAAAAUUGUCUACAAGAGUAUUUUGUAACAGUUUGUCAACAUUACUCCAAAAUUGUCAUACAUCAUAAUUGUAGUAAUUUCUGCACGGUCUUAUGUAUUAAUUGUAGUAUUUUCUUGAUCUCUUUCCAUGCAGUCAUUUCUACAUCUUCCUAUAACAUAUCUCAUUUAUUCAUUUCUACAAUCAGAUGGAUGAAAAGAGAUCAAACCUAUAAGUCAUUAGAAAUUAUCAUGAAUGGUAACUUUUUUAGAGUAAUGGAGAGAAGGUGUUGCAAAUGGAGAGAAGGUGUUGCAAAUAACGAAGCCGAUUUAUUAGAUGCUUAGAUUUUCAUAUUUCAACAAAACUGUUAUUGUAAAAGCAUAUGAACAGAUGGAUACAAUGAUAGGCAUGUUAUAAGUCGAUUUAUUAGAUGCUUAGAUUUUCAUAUUUCAACAAAACUGUUAUUGUAAAAGCAUAUGAACAGAUGGAUACAAUGAUAGGCAUGUUAUAAGUUACUCUUGCAGAUGAUUUUGUCAAUUAUGAUAUAAUUCACCAGAUUGUGGUCCAACGAUGAAACAAAAUGAAUAUCCCGUUGCAUUGUUCGGCUUAUAUACUUUCCUUUAAGUAUUAUAUAAACUCUUGGAUGGUGAAACCAGCUCUAGAUGGUGUUAGUAAGAAGAUGCCAAAAUUUUGGCAAAGAGGUUUAAGAUGAGUAUUUAGCUGUAAUGGACAGUAUUUUCCAGUGCAGGAUGAAGCUGCGAUUAUAAAAUACCGAAUCUGUGAUUUUGUGAGUAAUGAAGUGUUUUCACACGCCCACAAGCUGUAGAAGAUAGAGCAAAGAUGAGCACAACACAAUGGUAGGGCCUAUAUGGUGUAAGAGCACCAAAACUUUAUUAUUUAGCCGUGCGAGUGAGUGAAUACAUCUUAUGCGGACAGGUGUUGGAGCACUUAUAGGUACAUUCAUAGUAUAAAGAGAAACAAAUUGGGUGUCGAUAGUGUAUGCUCAUCAUAAUCAACUUCUCCUUGUUAGACUGAGAGGAGCUUACUGAACUCGGUAUAUGAAUUAGAAUGUAAACUCUGAAGUAGACACAUUAAAGAAGCUAUUGAAGUAAUCAAAGCAGCAUUGCGAAACAAUAUACUCCACCCCAAGUUCACAAGAACAUGAUAUGGAAGCACAAUGUCAGAUUCAGAAUGCUCGAAACAAAAAUAAGAGACAAAAGAAGUGAAUGAAUGAGAUAUAUUACUGCACUUUAUUAAAAUUUUCUAAGUAUCUAACGUUUUUCUCUUAUUUUUUCUUGAUUAAUUUUGGAAAAUUAUUAAUAUAACUAAAUAUGCUAUAAAAAAUAAUUUACGCUCUCUAUACGUCCCUCAUUUAAUUUUUAAGACAUUUUACAAUUCUCGAUUUCGUUCCCUACCCCUCUCCUGGCUACUAAGGUUAUAUGUUUUUGUCUUCUUUCUUGAUUAUGGAUUUGGAAAAUUAAUAGAAUAAUUAUUAUACCUAUAACAUCUAAUUUACGCUUCCACCAACAUGCUCAAAUUUGACUCUUCAGAAGUUUUAUGAUUCUUGAUUGUGUUCCCAGCCCGCUCCCGCUACUGGUAACUAAGCUCUAGCCUUAAAUGAGAUUUUUGAGAAGAGCUCAACCAGGAUCAAGAACUCUGAUACAUGUUUUUGUCACCAAAGCCAAAUAGGUGAACUCUUGAAAUUGCUGUGCAGAGCAUAUGUACUCUGAUAUGGCCUUUGUCGCAGAGUGAGGUCUCCAGGCUUCCAGAUCAUCAAACUGCAACCAUCCCAGAAAAGCUUUGCAAUAGAGAGAGAGUACUAAACGAUUCCACAAGAAGGAAAUCAGAUACCUGUUGGUGUUCCAGACUGUGAGGCCACCAAGCAUGAAGCUGAGUACCACAUACAAGCCAGCCAGAUAACCUGUUUAAAGUCAGAUGUUCAGCUUAAUUGCAAAUGAAGAUGGAAGUUGAGUUGAACCUAAUUAAAGGUCUACUUGGCUCAGACUAUUUGACAAACAGAAAAAUUGCUUGGUCCAGAGUCUCCAGCUGCAAGCGUGACGCGUUAUUGAAAAGAUCAUCAUGAAAAUAAGUUGACAAUGAGGUCUUAUUAGAUUGUCUACUUCAUAGUUGGAUCUGACAAUAGAUAGAUAAGGUAGUUCAUCUCAUUUAUGUUUCAUGGUGGUGGUGGUGCCUAUUAAAAUAUCUAUUCCCCUAAAGUCUGUCAUGCCGGUCACAUUCAAGCAUUUUUUUAUCCCAGUGUAAGCACCAUCUAGUUGUUGCAUUCGUUUUAAGAAUGAUGUUAGCAAUACCCAAGAUGCUGACUGCGGUUUUUGAGAUCAUUUUUAAUCGUCUCAAGGACAGAACCUACUGCAUCUUUUCUGUAGCAUGUUUUCAGAAUAACAACUAAA
Long non-coding RNA from Papaver somniferum (opium poppy), 4107 nucleotides. RefSeq lists it as uncharacterized. Lineage: Eukaryota; Viridiplantae; Streptophyta; Magnoliopsida; Ranunculales; Papaveraceae. The record is from RefSeq and is a predicted model, not a curated record. The transcript is spliced from 3 exons.